AGUUUGGGAGCAAACACUCCUCUGCGCGGGGAAUGUCAGUCCUCCAGCGAGGGAAUCUUGGCGCCGAGAGAGCCCAGGCUGGACCUCCCGAGGCGGCAGCCUAGUAGUCGGGCCAGGAGGCGAGAAGAACAAACUAGACCUAGAUUGAGGCGCUUAUUGUUGAGAGAGACGGGGCGAGAAAGUGAGGCCAGACUACAGUGGUGGCGGUAACGCUGGAAGAGAAUGGAGUGCCGGCGCUGUGGGGUUCGGCAAGCUGGCUCUGCAAGAAGAAAGAGGGAGCAGAAAAGCAUAAGGAGAGGAGUAUGAAUGCUGAGAGUUAUCUCAAGGGGAAUUGGCACUCCCAUAAUCCUAAUAUGUGGUGAGAAGCUGUGAGGUGAGGCAUCCGUAGUUGACUGAUAGAGAGAGAUAGUGAGAGAGAGAGAAGACAACCAGGGGGAAGAGGGAGAAACAGCCUCCUCACCCAGCAGGGAACCUGAGGCGGGUUCCAUCCCAGUGUACUGGCUGGCAUCAUGACGCAAGCCGAAGACAGACUCCAAACCAACUGAGCCACCCAGGCACUCCCACUACCCUGUUUAAAUCCCUUAGUAGCUCUUCAUUACCUUCAGCCUAGUCUGGCCCCCUUCAUAUUCUCAGGAAACCCAUCAGGUCUUCUUCCCUUGCUUACUUUCCCAGCCUCCCCUUUCCACUUCUCCCUUUUCCACCUCCUCUUCCUUUCUAACUUGCUUUCUACUUACUACAUACAUGCACAGUCUGAAUUGGCCACUCUGAAAUAUGUUCAGGUCUGUGAAAAUGCAUUUCCCCUCAUGUAUAAUAUCUUUCUUCUGUUAGACACCCUUUCCUCCUUGUCAGCUGGCUGGCUCUUGCUUGAGGUCUCAGAAUAGACAGCAUUUUCUCCAGAAAAAUGUCUUUGAUUAAAUUCCUCUGCCCAAGUUAUAUCAGCACCCCUAAUAUGUGCUCCCAGAGCACUCUAUCCUUUCCUUAACAUAGCACUUUACCACAUUCUAUAAUUGCCUGUUUAUGUAUCAUACUUUUCUCUAUCCUGCACCAUCUAAUAUGUGGCUCUUAAACGAUAAAUUAUAACUUAUUGUGACUGAGAAAAUGAGUUCCUAACUUUAUUUAAUUUAGUAAGCUUCAAUUUUAGAAAAUAAUAUUCAAAUCAGUUAUUGUAAAAAUAUAUUUGGAAUUAGUUGUAUAUGUGAAUCUACUUUUUCAACUCUAAGUUUAUUAAAUCUAUAUACAGGUCUAAAUAUAAAUAAGAAGUAAGCAUCUUAAUUGAGAUGUCUUCUAGUAUAACAUAUUCUCUGUAUUUCAAAGACUUGGUGCAAAAUAAAGAAUG
This is a long non-coding RNA of Mustela lutreola (European mink), 1336 nucleotides long. RefSeq lists it as uncharacterized. The transcript has 3 exons. Lineage: Eukaryota; Metazoa; Chordata; Mammalia; Carnivora; Mustelidae. The record is from RefSeq and is a predicted model, not a curated record.